UACGGAGGGUGCAAGCGUUGCUCGGAAUCACUGGGCGUAAAGGGUGCGUAGGCGGCUGUGCAAGUCUGGCGUGAAAGCCCCGGGCUCAGCCCGGGAAGUGCGCUCGAAACUGCACGGCUCGAGUGCCGGAGGGGAGAGUGGAAUUCCUGGUGUAGCGGUGAAAUGCGUAGAUAUCAGGAGGAAUACCGGUGGCGAAAGCGACUCUCUGGACGGCAACUGACGCUGAGGCACGAAAGCGUGGGGAGCAAACAGG
Molecule: ribosomal RNA, 253 nt
Filed under: uncultured bacterium
Lineage: Bacteria
Description: partial 16S ribosomal RNA
Rfam family: Bacterial small subunit ribosomal RNA
Source: RNAcentral